Molecule: ribosomal RNA, 301 nt
Filed under: uncultured bacterium
Lineage: Bacteria
Description: partial 16S ribosomal RNA
Rfam family: Bacterial small subunit ribosomal RNA
Source: RNAcentral
CAGCCGCCACGGUAAUACGUAGGGUGCAAGCGUUACUCGGAAUUACUGGGCGUAAAGCGUGCGUAGGCGGCUUCUUAAGUCGGAUGUGAAAUCCCUGAGCUUAACUUAGGAAUUGCAUUCGAUACUGGGAAGCUAGAGUAUGGGAGAGGAUGGUAGAAUUCCAGGUGUAGCGGUGAAAUGCGUAGAGAUCUGGAGGAAUACCGAUGGCGAAGGCAGCCAUCUGGCCUAAUACUGACGCUGAGGUACGAAAGCAUGGGGAGCAAACAGGAUUAGAUACCCCGGUAGUCCCUGUCUCUUAUAC